RNAcentral lists this long non-coding RNA (545 nucleotides) under Marmota monax (woodchuck). The record is from RNAcentral. Lineage: Eukaryota; Metazoa; Chordata; Mammalia; Rodentia; Sciuridae.
AAAUUUUUUACCUCACUGGAUUUGGUAGUUGUAAGUAAGCAGUGCAUUUUUCAGUUUCUUGUGUGAAUGAAUUCUUGAGUUUAUGAAGAUUGCUGAGGUCCAAAAAGGCCAACUAGGGAUAGCCUAUCUGGAUGGCCUACCUGCCUGUCCCUGACUGCUACUAGCCUGGCUCUGGUUAUGGCAUGACAUUUUGUUUGUUGUGUGGCCCUGGGAAUAAUGAGCAUCCGUGAAGAGCAGACGUGGUCCCUGUCCUCUGGAUUCUGUAGUUGGACUAGUGAAGACAAACCUAAAGCUUCCUGUGCUGCUGCCUGUGCUACAGUCUUGAUCCACAGUGGCUGCCUCUACAAGUGUCCAGAGUGUACACUAUUAGAAGGCAUCGAUCAUCUCCUGGACAUGAGUUCUCAAAUUUACAUGCCUCAAUUCUAGAGUUUAUUUUAAAAUCAGGUUUCAGUCUUUUUCCCUCCUCCUACCUACCCCCUACCUCAAGAGGUCUGACUCAAUAGGUCAGAGAUGAGUGGAGUGGGUGAGGAAUUUUUUUUUUUUUU